This 406-nucleotide ribosomal RNA is filed under the name uncultured bacterium. Its description in RNAcentral is "partial 16S ribosomal RNA". It matches the Rfam family "Bacterial small subunit ribosomal RNA", at positions 29 to 526 of the family's 1533-position model. The record is from RNAcentral.
AUUGAACGCUGGCGGCAGGCCUAACACAUGCAAGUCGAACGAGUGGCGGACGGGUGAGUAAUGUCUGGGAAACUGCCCGAUGGAGGGGGAUAACUACUGGAAACGGUAGCUAAUACCGCAUACCAUCGGAUGUGCCCAGAUGGGAUUAGCUAGUAGGUGGGGUAACGGCUCACCUGGGCGACGAUCCCUAGCUGGUCUGAGAGGAUGACCGGCCACACUGGAACUGGGACACGGUCCAGACGCCUACGGGAGGCAGCAGUGGGGAAUAUUGCACAAUGGGGGCAAGCCUGAUGCAGUCAGGCCGCGUGUGUGAAAAAGGCCUUGGGGUUGGAAAGUACUUUCAGCGGGGAGGCGGUACUCGCAGAAGAAGCAUCGGCUAACUCCGUGCCAGCAGCCGCGGUAAUUC